RNAcentral lists this ribosomal RNA (694 nucleotides) under Escherichia coli. RNAcentral's name for it is "bacterial SSU rRNA". It matches the Rfam family "Bacterial small subunit ribosomal RNA", at positions 809 to 1502 of the family's 1533-position model. Lineage: Bacteria; Pseudomonadati; Pseudomonadota; Gammaproteobacteria; Enterobacterales; Enterobacteriaceae. The record is from RNAcentral.
AUGUCGACUUGGAGGUUGUGCCCUUGAGGCGUGGCUUCCGGAGCUAACGCGUUAAGUCGACCGCCUGGGGAGUACGGCCGCAAGGUUAAAACUCAAAUGAAUUGACGGGGGCCCGCACAAGCGGUGGAGCAUGUGGUUUAAUUCGAUGCAACGCGAAGAACCUUACCUGGUCUUGACAUCCACAGAACUUUCCAGAGAUGGAUUGGUGCCUUCGGGAACUGUGAGACAGGUGCUGCAUGGCUGUCGUCAGCUCGUGUUGUGAAAUGUUGGGUUAAGUCCCGCAACGAGCGCAACCCUUAUCCUUUGUUGCCAGCGGUCCGGCCGGGAACUCAAAGGAGACUGCCAGUGAUAAACUGGAGGAAGGUGGGGAUGACGUCAAGUCAUCAUGGCCCUUACGACCAGGGCUACACACGUGCUACAAUGGCGCAUACAAAGAGAAGCGACCUCGCGAGAGCAAGCGGACCUCAUAAAGUGCGUCGUAGUCCGGAUUGGAGUCUGCAACUCGACUCCAUGAAGUCGGAAUCGCUAGUAAUCGUGGAUCAGAAUGCCACGGUGAAUACGUUCCCGGGCCUUGUACACACCGCCCGUCACACCAUGGGAGUGGGUUGCAAAAGAAGUAGGUAGCUUAACCUUCGGGAGGGCGCUUACCACUUUGUGAUUCAUGACUGGGGUGAAGUCGUAACAAAGGUAACCA